Molecule: long non-coding RNA, 842 nt
Filed under: Danio rerio (zebrafish)
Lineage: Eukaryota; Metazoa; Chordata; Actinopteri; Cypriniformes; Danionidae
Description: lncRNA si:ch211-13b16.1 (ENSDARG00000095883.4)
Source: RNAcentral
AGUGUGCUCAGCACGUGGAAUGGCUUCUUCACUUCGCUGUGCUUUGUUGGGGCUCUCAUUUGAGAAACAUUUUUGUUCUUAUACUCAGAUUUUUGUCAAACAGAGUUGAGCCAGAGGAACAGUCCAGGGUGGCAGAGGGACACACCAGGAAGGAGCAGGAGAGAUGACCCAGGGAGGAUCCAGGGACGACCCAGAGACAAUCCUUAGAACUCAAAGUCAAAACUGAGGAACUCAGUGGCUUCACGCUGCGGCUGAAAUAGGACCCCAGUUACCACAGCAGCCCCACAGAGUGUUUAGGUGUUCUUGGAUGGACGAUUUAUUUUGGAAUGGAGCUCCCCUCUCUCAUCAUGUCAACUAAUUUCUGGCAAUUUCUGGCAUCUGUGUCCUUCCUCAGUGAAGUGGAGGGCUGCUGGCAGCUGUGUUUUACACCACACUGCCCUGAAUACUCUAUCAACCUCCUGCUGUGCCACACAUCAUCACAUGAUCACAAAGACCCGAGACCUGAGACUCUUCAUCUCUCGGUGUCUCUUUCACCUAUGAACACAAUAUGAUAAAUCUCGUAGUAAAUACUACAUUUACUAAAAGAAAGUCAAGAAGUGCCCCUAGACAGAUGUGUUUACCCAUUGUAAGGACCACCCAUUGGCCCAAAAACAAAACCCAACGGUUAAGGUUAAGGUACGCUGUAAGGUUUAAGGUUUAAAUUCACUCCUUUUGUUUAUUUAGGAUCAAUUUAAUUUCAUGAUUUAUUUGACUCCAGUUUUAAAUUAUUCUCAAAUUUAAGUUGGAAUAUUAGUUUUGUUACGAUUUUAUUAAGAUUUGCCUGGUGGUUAUGCAUGCACUGC